RNAcentral lists this transfer RNA (80 nucleotides) under Paeniglutamicibacter gangotriensis Lz1y. RNAcentral's name for it is "tRNA-Ala". Lineage: Bacteria; Bacillati; Actinomycetota; Actinomycetes; Micrococcales; Micrococcaceae. The record is from RNAcentral.
GGGGAGCGGAGUCCCCGGGGCCAGCCCUGCGGCCUCGCGGGCUGCGGACGCGGCGCGUUCUGCCUCGCGGCGGCCCCUGC